CUUCGCGCGUAGGUCCGGGCCCGCUGCCCCGGACCCUACCCCACCCGAGCCGUGGAGGGCCACCAGGAGGCUAGGGCUGGGCGGCGCUGCCCUGGACGUGUUCGCGGCCGUCCUCCGCAGGCUCGACCACGUUGAGAUCCUCAUGGGGCCUGCGCAGGUGUACCGCUCCUGGCGCCGAGCCACGCGUGACUACCCCAAGCUCCUCAGCGAACAGUGAGAAUGCAAUCCCACACCCCAGCCUCCCUGUUCUAGGAUUUUAAAGUUCCGUUCUGAUUUUCCUUUGUUGCGAGUAUACAACAUCUACUUUCCUCUGCCUGUCAGCUGUUAGGUGAAAUGUCUCAAAUGUAACCUGUUGUGAACAAUUCAUUUUCUAAUAGUUGAAAUUCUACAGGAGCAGAAGUGGAUCAUAGCUGUUGUUUAUGGUGCCUGUAUAUGCCUUUGAAUCUGUAAGUACAAGCUCCACUUGUUCAUAUGUCUAUUUGAGGCAGCGACAUGCUACUAGUACUAGGUUUGUACUCAACAACAAACUAUUUUGACAAAAUGCGAAGUGUAAUUUUACUGCUUCUCGAGCAAACUAUGCUGGUAGAGUUGUUGAUUAUCUUGGCAUGAUAAACUGAACUUUCUUAUCCUGCAUUUCUAUACUAUAAAAUCGAACAUUUCUUUCAGUAUGAGCAUCUCUAAAUCUGUCACUUAUGUCUGCAAAGUUGUGCUCUGUAGUUAGCUUUGUAUUGGACUAAUCUGUUUAGUACAAUACAAAAACAUAUAUCACAUAGGGAUGAACCUGAAGUUUACUGACAGAUGUUUCAACUAAUUUUGUAGUCAUACAAAUUGUAUGUCUUGCUAUUACUUAUGCACUCUUAUGAAUAGGUAUAUGUGAAACUUCUGUGCACUAGUUCAAGGUUACUUUUUACAAUGACUAUCCUCAUCUUUAAUUGUUUAUGGGAAAUACUAGCAGGGUUUCUACCCUUUCUUUCCCCUAAUGACUGAUGGCAGUUGGUGCCAUAAUUUGGCUACCCCAAGACAAAUAUGCAACACUAUAUUCAAUUGUCUCACUCAUUAUCAUUACAGAAAGUGCUCACUGCUCUCAUCUCAAUAUUUUUACACAUCUCCAUAUACUUUAUUAUGUGUUUACUAUUUUAUGUUUAACAUUUAGGCAGUAGCACAUCUCCAUAUAUUUAUUGUAAGUUUAUUUCAAAUUGAGGAAGCUGAACUGAGCAUUAUGAAAUUGUAUGCUGAUUCCUAAUGAUAUAUAUCAAGAAGGCGUAAUUGUAAGAGAGACAUGAUGGGUGCAACUUGGAGUAGCAUGUGAGCUCAUAUGCAUUGCUGAAGAAUCUUUUUACGUUUGUGUUAAGUAGAUCAAGUCCUGUCAGAUUGAUUCAAUAGUUUUCAACUGAGUUGAUUGUAACUUGCUACUGGAAUAUCUAUGAAUAUUUCUGCUCAUUAAAAUUACUACAUAUCAGCAACAAUGUAUUUGUUUUCUAUACCACAUGUUGUUCCUGUAAUAUUAUUGGAAGAAUAAUGGUAUGUUGCCAGUCACUACCUUGAUCAAUGGAACUUGAUAUGGACCGGAUGUUUGAUGGAUGCAA
Molecule: long non-coding RNA, 1586 nt
Organism: Panicum virgatum (switchgrass)
Lineage: Eukaryota; Viridiplantae; Streptophyta; Magnoliopsida; Poales; Poaceae
Exons: 2
Source: RefSeq, a predicted model, not a curated record